CAUAUCAAUAAGCGGAGGAAAAGAAACCAACAGGGAUUGCCCUAGUAACGGCGAGUGAAGCGGCAACAGCUCAAAUUUGAAAUCUGGCUCUUUCAGAGUCCGAGUUGUAAUUUGCAGAGGGCGCUUUGGCGUUGGCAGCGGUCCAAGUUCCUUGGAACAGGACGUCACAGAGGGUGAGAAUCCCGUACGUGGUCGCUGGCCUUCGCCGUGUAAAGCCCCUUCGACGAGUCGAGUUGUUUGGGAAUGCAGCUCUAAAUGGGAGGUAAAUUUCUUCUAAAGCUAAAUACUGGCCAGAGACCGAUAGCGCACAAGUAGAGUGAUCGAAAGAUGAAAAGCACUUUGGAAAGAGAGUCAAAUAGCACGUGAAAUUGUUGAAAGGGAAGCGCUUGCAGCCAGACUUGCCUGUAGUUGCUCAUCCGGGCUUUUGCCCGGUGCACUCUUCUGCGGGCAGGCCAGCAUCAGUUUGGGCGGUUGGAUAAAGGUCUCUGUCAUGUACCUCUCUUCGGGGAGGCCUUAUAGGGGAGACGUCAUGCAACCAGCCUGGACUGAGGUCCGCGCAUUUAUGCUAGGAUGCUGGCGUAAUGGCUGUAAGCGGCCCGUCUUGAAACACGGACCAAGGAGUCUAACAUCUAUGCGAGUGUUUGGGUGUCAAGCCCGAACGCGUAAUGAAAGUGAACGGAGGUGGGACCCCAUUAGGGUGCACCAUCGACCGAUCCUGAUGUCUUCGGAUGGAUUUGAGUAAGAGCAUGGCUGUUGGGACCCGAAAGAUGGUGAACUAUGCUUGAAUAGGGUGAAGCCAGAGGAAACUCUGGUGGAGGCUCGCAGCGGUUCUGACGUGCAAAUCGAUCGUCAAAUUUGGGCAUAGGGGGCGAAAGACUAAUCGAACUAUCUAGUAGCUGGUUCUGCGAG
This 909-nucleotide ribosomal RNA is filed under the name Camarosporium sp. MFLUCC 15-0444. RNAcentral describes it as "eukaryotic LSU rRNA". It matches the Rfam family "Eukaryotic large subunit ribosomal RNA", at positions 39 to 963 of the family's 3401-position model. The record is from RNAcentral. Lineage: Eukaryota; Fungi; Ascomycota; Dothideomycetes; Pleosporales.